This 377-nucleotide ribosomal RNA is filed under the name uncultured bacterium. RNAcentral describes it as "bacterial SSU rRNA". It matches the Rfam family "Bacterial small subunit ribosomal RNA", at positions 523 to 898 of the family's 1533-position model. The record is from RNAcentral.
AUACGUAGGUGGCAAGCGUUGUCCGGAUUUAUUGGGCGUAAAGCGAGCGCAGGCGGUUUCUUAAGUCUGAUGUGAAAGCCCCCGGCUCAACCGGGGAGGGUCAUUGGAAACUGGGAAACUUGAGUGCAGAAGAGGAGAGUGGAAUUCCAUGUGUAGCGGUGAAAUGCGUAGAUAUAUGGAGGAACACCAGUGGCGAAGGCGGCUCUCUGGUCUGUAACUGACGCUGAGGCUCGAAAGCGUGGGGAGCAAACAGGAUUAGAUACCCUGGUAGUCCACGCCGUAAACGAUGAGUGCUAAGUGUUGGAGGGUUUCCGCCCUUCAGUGCUGCAGCUAACGCGUUAAAUCGACCGCCUGGGGAGUACGGCCGCAAGGUUAAA